RNAcentral lists this ribosomal RNA (84 nucleotides) under Staphylococcus xylosus. The record is from RNAcentral. Lineage: Bacteria; Bacillati; Bacillota; Bacilli; Caryophanales; Staphylococcaceae.
UUCCCAUGCCGAACACAGAAGUUAAGCUCUUUAGCGCCGAUGGUAGUCGGACUUACGUUCCGCAAGAGUAGGACGUUGCCAGGC